This 468-nucleotide ribosomal RNA is filed under the name uncultured bacterium. Its description in RNAcentral is "partial 16S ribosomal RNA". It matches the Rfam family "Bacterial small subunit ribosomal RNA", at positions 28 to 507 of the family's 1533-position model. The record is from RNAcentral.
GACGAACGCUGGCGGCGUGCUUAACACAUGCAAGUCGAACGGAAAGGCCCUGCUUUUGUGGGGUGCUCGAGUGGCGAACGGGUGAGUAACACGUGAGUAACCUGCCCUUGACUUUGGGAUAACUUCAGGAAACUGGGGCUAAUACCGGAUAGGAGCUCCUGCUGCAUGGUGGGGGUUGGAAAGUUUCGGCGGUUGGGGAUGGUCUCGCGGGUUAUCAGCUUGUUGGUGGGGUAGUGGCGGACGAAGGCUUUGACGGGUAGCCGGCCUGAGAGGGUGACCGGCCACAUUGGGACUGAGAGACGGCCCAGACUCCUACGGGAGGCAGCAGUGGGGAGUAUUGCACAAUGGGCGGAAGCCAGAGGCAGCGACGCCGCGUGCGGGAUGACGGCUUUCGGGUGGUAAACCGCUUUCGCCUGUGACGAAGAGUGAGUGACGGUAAUGGGUAAAGAAGCAACGGCUAACUACGUG